AGUGAACGCUGGCGGUAGGCCUAACACAUGCAAGUCGAACGGCAGCACAGUAAGAUCUUGCUCUUACGGGUGGCGAGUGGCGGACGGGUGAGGAAUACAUCGGAAUCUACUUUUUCGUGGGGGAUAACGUAGGGAAACUUACGCUAAUACCGCAUACGACCUACGGGUGAAAGCAGGGGAUCUUCGCACCUUGCGCGAUUGAAUUAGCCGAUGUCGGAUUAGCUAGUUGGCGGGGUAAAGGCCCACCAAGGCGACGAUCCGUAGCUGGUCUGAGAGGAUGAUCAGCCACACUGGAACUGAGACACGGUCCAGACUCCUAAGGGAGGCAGCAGUGGGGAAUAUUGGACAAUGGGCGCAAGCCUGAUCCAGCCAUAGCGCGUGGGUGAAGAAGGCCUUCGGGUUGUAAAGCCCUUUUGUUGGGAAAGAAAAGCAGCAGGUUAAUACCCCGCUGUUCUGACGGUACCCAAAGAAUAAGCACCGGCUAACUUCGUG
Molecule: ribosomal RNA, 492 nt
Filed under: uncultured bacterium
Lineage: Bacteria
Description: partial 16S ribosomal RNA
Rfam family: Bacterial small subunit ribosomal RNA
Source: RNAcentral